Molecule: ribosomal RNA, 443 nt
Filed under: uncultured Leptotrichia sp.
Lineage: Bacteria; Fusobacteriati; Fusobacteriota; Fusobacteriia; Fusobacteriales; Leptotrichiaceae
Description: bacterial SSU rRNA
Rfam family: Bacterial small subunit ribosomal RNA
Source: RNAcentral
CCUACGGGGGGCAGCAGUGGGGAAUAUUGGACAAUGGGGGCAACCCUGAUCCAGCAAUUCUGUGUGCACGAAGAAGGUUUUCGGAUUGUAAAGUGCUUUCAGCAGGGAAGAAGGAAGUGACGGUACCUGCAGAAGAAGCGACGGCUAAAUACGUGCCAGCAGCCGCGGUAAUACGUAUGUCGCGAGCGUUAUCCGGAAUUAUUGGGCAUAAAGGGCAUCUAGGCGGCCUGACAAGUCAGGGGUGAAAACCUGCGGCUCAACCGCAGGCCUGCCUUUGAAACUGUGAGGCUGGAGUACCGGAGAGGUGGACGGAACUGCACGAGUAGAGGUGAAAUUCGUAGAUAUGUGCAGGAAUGCCGAUGAUGAAGAUAGUUCACUGGACGGUAACUGACGCUGAAGUGCGAAAGCCGGGGGAGCAAACAGGAUUAGAUACCCCUGUAGUC